GGAUCCAGACUUUGAUCCUGGCUCAGGAUGAACGCUAGCUACAGGCUUAACACAUGCAAGUCGAGGGGCAGCGGUAUCGAAAGCUUGCUUUCGGUAGCCGGCGACCGGCGCACGGGUGAGUAACGCGUAUCGAACCUGCCUCAUACUCGGGAAUAGCCUUGCGAAAGUAAGAUUAAUGCCCGGUGUUUUCAGAGUCCCGCAUGAGGCUUUGAACAAAGAUUUAUCGGUAUGAGAUGGCGAUGCGUCCCAUUAGCUUGUUGGCGGGGUAACGGCCCACCAAGGCAUCGAUGGGUAGGGGUUCUGAGAGGAAGGUCCCCCACAUUGGAACUGAGACACGGUCCAAACUCCUACGGGAGGCAGCAGUGAGGAAUAUUGGUCAAUGGGCGGAAGCCUGAACCAGCCAAGUAGCGUGCAGGAAGACGGCCCUCCGGGUUGUAAACUGCUUUUAGUUGGGAAUAAAACGGGGCUCGUGAGCCCCCUUGCAUGUACCAUCAGAAAAAGGACCGGCUAAUUCCGUGCCAGCAGCCGCGGUAAUACGGAAGGUUCGGGCGUUAUCCGGAUUUAUUGGGUUUAAAGGGAGCGCAGGCGGACCUUUAAGUCAGCUGUGAAAUACGGCGGCUCAACCGUCGAACUGCAGUUGAUACUGGAGGUCUUGAGUGCACACAGGGAUGCUGGAAUUCAUGGUGUAGCGGUGAAAUGCUCAGAUAUCAUGAAGAACUCCGAUCGCGAAGGCGGCAUCCGGGGUGCAACUGACGCUGAGGCUCGAAAGUGCGGGUAUCAAACAGGAUUAGAUACCCUGGUAGUCCGCACAGUAAACGAUGAAUACUCGCGGUUUGCGAUACAGUGUAAGCCGCCAAGCGAAAGCGUUAAGUAUUCCACCUGGGGAGUACGCCGGCAACGGUGCAACUCAAAGGAAUUGACGG
Molecule: ribosomal RNA, 923 nt
Filed under: uncultured Bacteroidota bacterium
Lineage: Bacteria; Pseudomonadati; Bacteroidota
Description: bacterial SSU rRNA
Rfam family: Bacterial small subunit ribosomal RNA
Source: RNAcentral